GACGAACGCUGGCGGCGUGCUUAACACAUGCAAGUCGAACGGAAAGGCCCUGCUUGCAGGGUACUCGAGUGGCGAACGGGUGAGUAACACGUGGGUGAUCUGCCCUGCACUUCGGGAUAAGCUUGGGAAACUGGGUCUAAUACCGGAUAGGAGCCAUCUUUAGUGUGGUGGUUGGAAAGUUUUUUCGGUGUAGGAUGAGCUCGCGGCCUAUCAGCUUGUUGGUGGGGUAAUGGCCUACCAAGGCGGCGACGGGUAGCCGGCCUGAGAGGGUGUACGGCCACAUUGAGACUGAGAUACGGCCCAGACUCCUACGGGAGGCAGCAGUGGGGAAUAUUGCACAAUGGGCGCAAGCCUGAUGCAGCGACGCCGCGUGGGGGAUGAAGGCCUUCGGGUUGUAAACUCCUUUCGCUAGGGACGAAGCUUUUUUGUGACGGUACCUAGAUAAGAAGCACCGGCUAACUACGUG
This 466-nucleotide ribosomal RNA is filed under the name uncultured bacterium. RNAcentral's name for it is "partial 16S ribosomal RNA". It matches the Rfam family "Bacterial small subunit ribosomal RNA", at positions 28 to 507 of the family's 1533-position model. The record is from RNAcentral.